This 593-nucleotide ribosomal RNA is filed under the name uncultured bacterium. RNAcentral's name for it is "bacterial SSU rRNA". It matches the Rfam family "Bacterial small subunit ribosomal RNA", at positions 338 to 946 of the family's 1533-position model. The record is from RNAcentral.
CCUACGGGAGGCAGCAGUUGGGAAUAUUGCACAAUGGGCGACAGCCUGAUGCAGCGACGCCGCGUGAAGGAAGAAGGCCUUCGGGUUGUAAACUUCUUUUUUAUGGGACGAUUGUGACGGUACCAUAAGAAUAAGGACCUGCUAACUACGUGCCAGCAGCAGCGGUAAUACGUAGGGUCCGAGCGUUGUCCGGAUUUAUUGGGCGUAAAGAGUAUGUAGGUGGUUUGGUGUGUCGGAUUUAAAAGGUCCAGGCUCAACUUGGAUUUUGGAUCCGAAACUACUAAACUUUGAGGGUAGCAGGGGCAAGCGGAAUUAGCGGAGUAGCAGUGAAAUGCGUUGAUCUCGCUAAGAACACCAAUGGCGAAGGCAGCUUGCUAGGUUACCUCUGACACUGAGAUACGAAAGCGUGGGGAGCGAACGGGAUUAGAUACCCCGGUAGUCCACGCCGUAAACGAUGCAGACUAGGUAUCAGAAGUAUCGACCCUUCUUGUACCAAAGCUAACGCGUUAAGUCUGCCGCCUGGGAAGUACGGUCGCAAGACUAAGACACAAGAAGUAGACGCGNGAGACGNGCGAGACGACGACGAGGGAGAG